This 1821-nucleotide long non-coding RNA is filed under the name Mus pahari (shrew mouse). RNAcentral's name for it is "lncRNA (MGP_PahariEiJ_G0006326.1)". Lineage: Eukaryota; Metazoa; Chordata; Mammalia; Rodentia; Muridae. The record is from RNAcentral.
CCCUUUUAGAAGCUAUACAUAAAUGGUGGUUUCCCUUCUGUACUGCCACAGAACUUAUACAUACAUUCUCAGUCCUACCUGUGAAAGGCCUAAAGAGAAAGAAACUCAAUUUGCAGUCCAACACAAAGGGGAGAAUUUCUAAAAUAAAUAAUCCAACAGUUUUUUGCAUUUUUUUAAAUUAAUUUUUCAUUUUUUUAAAAUAAAAUAACCAAAAAAAGUGUAAAGUUACAAAAAUGUUGUUGAAGAAUAAUAUAUUAAAACUGUGGAAAAAAGGAAAGACACGUCACAAAAUUUUAAGAUUAAUAUGAAGAUCAUAAUUUAACAUAAAAGAAUAUAUUCUAUGGAUUUGUCAUCCCGAUAAAUAUGAACAAAAUUAACAAAAAAAAGCAUAGUUUGGCAAUAAAUACGUUUUGAUAAGUUAAAUAAGCUUUUUUAUAUUGAUGUGCAGUGAUAAGCAACAUUUUUGCUCUCCAAUUUCUGAAAGUUAGAUGAAGUUUAAACCCAGGGAAAAAAGCAUUGUGUGGGGGCUCUAAGGUAGACCUAAGGUAUUCUAGAGCAAAAUCCAUUAAACCUACUUCUACAGGAAAUCGUUUUACACAGAUAUUGUAUGUGGAAUGAAUACCAUUAACUGCUCACCCCUUACAUGUUUUUUUUUUGUUUUUUUGUUUUUUAGCUUUUCUCUCAUUUGUUGUCAUUUUAAAGAUGUCACAUAUGAAUUGGGGAACUUUAGCACCAAAAUCAAGUCUCUCAUAGUCCAUCUAGUUUCCCCUUCCUCCCCACUUAAAAAAAAAAAAGAAAGAAAGAAAAAGAAAAAGAAAUUAAAUCACAAAGUCCCACUUAUGUCAAAACCUUCGUCCAACUUGUUCAACCUUUGUCCCUGGAGACCUACACAAACCCAGGCAAGAUUAGUCAACAGGGGUUCGGGCUGGGAAGAAAAAGGUUUUGAAAGUCAAAAUAGACCCCCCCAAAAAAAGAACCCCAAGUCCAGCAACAACUCUCUGAGGGAGGUGAGUAACUCUAAGGACGAGGAAGAGUGUGUGGGAGACCGAAAGGAAGGUGCACUUGUGUGGCCAGCUGGGGGAGCUGCUGGUUGCGGGUCACCCCACCCCCACCCCCAACCCCACGGGCAGAGGCUCUGGGAGGCCCACGGGUGCCCCCUGGCGUUGAAGAGGUAAUGUAGUCACAGUGACAAAGUUAGAUUACAAGGCACUAAGUUGCUUCUGUAAACGGUUACUGCUUUUUUUCUUUUGUGAUUUGGCACUUAAGGCUUAAGCCGGGGGGGGGGGGGGGGAAGGCAUCUACUGACAAAAGAUGGGACUCUGUUAUGCGUGGUUAAGUGGGCUAUGAAAUGGAGGGAGGGUUUCAAGCCAGAAGCUACCGACAAAUUGACUUGUCCUUAUGUGGGGGGAGGGUAACAUACCAAGGUCUGGGAAAGGGGUUGAGCUUAAAUGUAUCAAUGUGGGGUUUGAGGGAAAGUUAGGGGGUGGGGAGGACAUAAGCAAAUUCCUUCACCAUGGAGGGAAACGCAAGCAAUGAAAGUCCUUCGCUCCCUCUACGCCGUCCCCGAGACCCAAACUUUUUAGAGCUUCUUGAAGCACAAGAGAAACUUUCAAAAAGUCAACGCUCCGCCCUGCUUUACCUUGCAUAAAACUUCGCUCAAGUCGAAAAUGGUGGCGGACACGAGGGUGGUGGUCAUCGUGGGCGUUCGCACGGGGCAAGGACUAGGAUCUGGUGUGUCGUGAAGGUCCCGGUGCGGGGAAGGCGCAGCCUCCGGCUCUCCGGUCAGGAGUCCCACACGCCUGCUCCCGGCGCCCCUCGCCU